RNAcentral lists this ribosomal RNA (446 nucleotides) under uncultured bacterium. Its description in RNAcentral is "partial 16S ribosomal RNA". It matches the Rfam family "Bacterial small subunit ribosomal RNA", at positions 329 to 792 of the family's 1533-position model. The record is from RNAcentral.
GUCCAGACUCCUACGGGAGGCAGCAGUGGGGAAUAUUGCACAAUGGGGGAAACCCUGAUGCAGCGACGCCGCGUGAGUGAAGAAGUAAUUCGUUAUGUAAAGCUCUAUCAGCAGGGAAGAAAAUGACGGUACCUGAGUAAGAAGCCCCGGCUAACUACGUGCCAGCAGCCGCGGUAAUACGUAGGGGGCAAGCGUUAUCCGGAUUUACUGGGUGUAAAGGGGGCGCAGACGGCAGCGCAAGCCAGGAGUGAAAGCCCGGGGCCCAACCCCGGGACUGCUUUGGAAACUGUUAAGCUGGAGUACUGGAGAGGCAAGCGGAAUUCCUAGUGUAGCGGUGAAAUGCGUAGAUAUUAGGAGGAACACCAGUGGCGAAGGCGGCUUGCUGGACAGAGACUGACGUUGAGGCUCGAAAGCGUGGGGAGCAAACAGGAUUAGAUACCCUCGUA